Molecule: long non-coding RNA, 270 nt
Filed under: Lactuca sativa (garden lettuce)
Lineage: Eukaryota; Viridiplantae; Streptophyta; Magnoliopsida; Asterales; Asteraceae
Description: long non-coding RNA (LSAT_LNC006234)
Source: RNAcentral
GUCCUUAAAGCUUUUGCCAACACUGGCGUUGAGUUCAUCGUCGGCCUUGGUAAUGAGUACUUAACAAAAAUGCAAGAUCCCACCGAAGCUCAAUCGUGGGUCAAGUCAAACGUCCAAGCUUACCUCCCUGCAACUAAAAUCACCUCCAUUGCUGUCGGCAAUGAAGUUUUGACCUUCAAUGAUACCUCUCUUUCUGGUUGUUUACUUCCGGCGAUGCAGAGUAUACACACUGCCCUAAUUAACCUGAAAUUGGACCGGCAGGUUACUGUC